Molecule: non-coding RNA, 417 nt
Organism: Hemibagrus wyckioides
Lineage: Eukaryota; Metazoa; Chordata; Actinopteri; Siluriformes; Bagridae
Source: the annotation of a RefSeq genome assembly
CUCUUACUGCAUCUCUUGUUACUACCAUCCAACAUGAUCAGUGUUAUAAUCAGUCUGCCUUUCCUGCUCUACUGCACUCCAGUUUUAGCAGAAGAUAACGGAGUCUACCAAAACCCCAGUGUCCUCUGGCAGGUGAAAGGAGAAUCUGCUGAAAUGAAGUGCAGUCACAAUAAAGGUGGCACCUACUAUCAGAUGUAUUGGUACAGGCAGCGCCAAGGAGAGAGCAUGGAGUUCAUUGUGUACAUAAAAACUAAAAGUCAACCAGAGUUUGGCUCUGUGUAUAAAAAUAAAUUUUCUACUGUUAAAGAAAUUGACGCGAAUGGAUCUUUAACUGUGAAGGAUCUGGAUAUAGAGGACAGCGCUGUGUAUUUCUGUGCAGUAAAAACACACAGUGUUACAGAGUUACUGCACUGCUGA